GGGGGAGCGCCGGAGUCUGGAGAGCCGGGCCGGCCUGUAAAGUCGGUGCCUUAGCGCUGAGUGAGUUCGAGUCUCACCUCCCCCA
This 85-nucleotide transfer RNA is filed under the name Actinomycetota bacterium. RNAcentral describes it as "tRNA-Tyr". It matches the Rfam family "tRNA". From Rfam's summary of the family: Transfer RNA (tRNA) molecules are approximately 80 nucleotides in length. Their secondary structure includes four short double-helical elements and three loops (D, anti-codon, and T loops). The record is from RNAcentral. Lineage: Bacteria; Bacillati; Actinomycetota.